GGAGGGGCCCGCGUCGGAUUAGGUAGUUGGUGGGGUAACGGCCUACCAAGCCUGUGAUCCGUAGCUGGUCUGAGAGGAUGAUCAGCCACACUGGGACUGAGACACGGCCCAUACUCCUACGGGAGGCAGCAGUGGGGAAUAUUGGACAAUGGGCGCAAGCCUGAUCCAGCAAUGCCGCGUGAGUGAGGAAGGCCUUCAGGUUGUGAAGCUCUCUCGGCGGGGACGAUGAUGACGGUACCCGCAUAAGAAGCCCCGGCUAACUUCGUGCCAGCAACCGCGGUAAUACGAAGGGGGCGAGCGUUGUUCUGAUUUACUGGGCGUAAAGGGCGCGCAGGCGGCGAGUUUUGUCAGGCGUGAAAGCCCCGGGCUCAACCUGGGAAUUGCGCUUGAAACGUCCUUGCUAGAGAUGUGGAGAGGAGAGUGGAAUUCCCAGUGUAGAGGUGAAAUUCGUACAUGUUGUGAAGAACACCGGUGCCCACGGCGGCUCUAUAGACUGAUACUCACGCUGAGGUGCUCAAGCGUGGGGAGCCUACAGGAUUAGAUAGCGUGGUAGUCCACGCUGUCUACGAUGUGUGCUACACGUUGCGGAGCCUACCUCGUCAACGACGCAGCUAACUCCA
This 620-nucleotide ribosomal RNA is filed under the name uncultured bacterium. RNAcentral describes it as "bacterial SSU rRNA". It matches the Rfam family "Bacterial small subunit ribosomal RNA", at positions 223 to 860 of the family's 1533-position model. The record is from RNAcentral.